GUUUGUUACCUGGUAGCCUGAUAAGCAAUACCUGCUGAGAUUUUCUCUUCUACAAGCCAUUCAAUCUACAGGAGCCCUCUCCAGUUUUCAAUCUGGCAACCUAACUGUAAAGUGCCAGAUAUAUUGAUGGUGAAUAAAAGAACAAUAUUAACUGGAUGGGAAGAACUGGGAGAACACAAGAAGAGAGAAGAGAUGGGCAGAGAAGGUGGAGUGGAUAGAUAAGGCCUUGCGUUCGACCUCUUGGCUUCCUUUGCCACACGGCACACUCUUAGCUGAAGUGUGAACGCAGCUGUACCAGGGCAAUUGACAGCCUUUUGCUGUUUCAAGCGUGAACAAGCUUGUCACAGGAGCAGAGCCAAACAGGUUCUGUACCCUUCCUUGAACAUGAAAUGCACAGCAGCCAUUCAGUUUGGUGGAACACAGAAAAGGCAGCAAGGGAAGACCUCAUUUGCUCCAUCGUUCCCAAACCCAAUCCACCCUCCCCACUGAAGAAGAAGUGACAAGAAGGUUCAUGUGGCUGGGAUGGGAGAGGAAGGUGUGGAGAGCAAAAUUAAUUUUCACCUGAAGUGACAAAAGAGCUUGAGCCGGCUCUCAGCGUAAAUGAGCUCAGAGCCUACUUCCUAAAUACUGGCAACUCUAACUUCAUUGCAAUCCUUAGAGAGGGGAGAGAGAAAGAGAAACGACAGGCAUGAUCUUCUUUUACGUAGAAGGCUAUCAAUCACCAAGAGAGUUGGAGGUACACCUGGAGGAUCGUUCCCUUCCUGGCCUCUUGGGUUCCGGUAUAGACUUCUCUCCUUAUUCUGCUUUUGUCAAUUCCAGAUUUCUGGCUUCUAAUUUGCAGCAGCUUAGGGUGGAGAUCCACACACUUGGUGGCAGACAAAGAGAAGUUUGGGAUGUGCACAGGGGCAGCUGUGGUGAUUGUUGGUAUUUGCCAGGAAAGCAGAAGCAGCAGAUGAACUUGACAUCUAUCUGAAAACAGAAAUGAUAAACCAUUUAAAAAUCUAUGAGUGUACUUUGUUACUUGGAGCUGGUUCAUCUCUUCAAUGACUUCACAAGUUCAUCCUCCGUUAGCAGUAAAAAGGCCCAAAUUAUCAUACCAUUUUUAAAUGAACUGAAAACUAAUCAGAGAACAAUUCAGUACUACUGCUUAGCAUACAUCUGCAUUUCUGAAUAUGUAUUAAGGUUAUAUUAAACAAUAAAGCACUUUCAAUAAAAA
Molecule: long non-coding RNA, 1216 nt
Organism: Sceloporus undulatus (fence lizard)
Lineage: Eukaryota; Metazoa; Chordata; Lepidosauria; Squamata; Phrynosomatidae
Exons: 5
Source: RefSeq, a predicted model, not a curated record